AGAGUUUGAUCCUGGCUCAGGACGAACGCUGGCGGCGUGCCUAAUACAUGCAAGUCGAGCGAAUCAUUGGGAGCUUGCUCCCUUUGGUUAGCGGCGGACGGGUGAGUAACACGUGGGCAACCUGCCUGUAAGAUCGGGAUAACUUCGGGAAACCGGAGCUAAUACCGAAUAAUCCUUUUCGACACAUGUCGGAAAGCUGA
Molecule: ribosomal RNA, 200 nt
Filed under: uncultured bacterium
Lineage: Bacteria
Description: partial 16S ribosomal RNA
Rfam family: Bacterial small subunit ribosomal RNA
Source: RNAcentral